GAUGAACGCUGGCGGCGUGCCUAAUACAUGCAAGUCGAGCGAACAGACGAGGAGCUUGCUCCUCUGACGUUAGCGGCGGACGGGUGAGUAACACGUGGAUAACCUACCUAUAAGACUGGGAUAACUUCGGGAAACCGGAGCUAAUACCGGAUAAUAUAUUGAACCGCAUGGUUCAAUAGUGAAAGACGGUUUUGCUGUCACUUAUAGAUGGAUCCGCGCCGCAUUAGCUAGUUGGUAAGGUAACGGCUUACCAAGGCGACGAUGCGUAGCCGACCUGAGAGGGGGCUCGGCCACACUGGAACUGAGACACGGUCCAGACUCCUACGGGAGGCAGCAGUAGGGAAUCUUCCGCAAUGGGCGAAAGCCUGACGGAGCAACGCCGCGUGAGUGAUGAAGGUCUUCGGAUCGUAAAACUCUGUUAUUAGGGAAGAACAAAUGUGUAAGUAACUAUGCACGUCUUGACGGUACCUAAUCAGAAAGCCACGGCUAACUACGUG
This 497-nucleotide ribosomal RNA is filed under the name uncultured bacterium. RNAcentral's name for it is "partial 16S ribosomal RNA". It matches the Rfam family "Bacterial small subunit ribosomal RNA", at positions 28 to 507 of the family's 1533-position model. The record is from RNAcentral.